AACGAACGCUGGCGGCAUGCCUAACACAUGCAAGUCGAACGAGACCUUCGGGUCUAGUGGCGCACGGGUGCGUAACGCGUGGGAACCUGCCCUUAGGUUCGGAAUAACUCCCCGAAGGGGGUGCUAAUACCGGAUAAUGUCUUCGGACCAAAGAUUUAUCGCCUUUGGAUGGGCCCGCGUUGGAUUAGCUAGUUGGUAGGGUAAAAGCCUACCAAGGCGACGAUCCAUAGCUGGUCUGAGAGGAUGAUCAGCCACACUGGGACUGAGACACGGCCCAGACUCCUACGGGAGGCAGCAGUGGGGAAUAUUGGACAAUGGGCGAAAGCCUGAUCCAGCAAUGCCGCGUGAGUGAUGAAGGCCUUAGGGUUGUAAAGCUCUUUUACCCGGGAUGAUAAUGACAGUACCGGGAGAAUAAGCUCCGGCUAACCCCGUG
This 433-nucleotide ribosomal RNA is filed under the name uncultured bacterium. Its description in RNAcentral is "partial 16S ribosomal RNA". It matches the Rfam family "Bacterial small subunit ribosomal RNA", at positions 29 to 507 of the family's 1533-position model. The record is from RNAcentral.